Sarcophilus harrisii (Tasmanian devil) is the source of this 323-nucleotide long non-coding RNA. RefSeq lists it as uncharacterized. The record is from RefSeq and is a predicted model, not a curated record. Lineage: Eukaryota; Metazoa; Chordata; Mammalia; Dasyuromorphia; Dasyuridae. The transcript is spliced from 3 exons.
CACUUUUCAAUGAUGAUGGUGACAGUGAUUGACGAUGAUGAAGAUGAUGUUGACAAUAAAAAGUUUGAUAAUGAAAUGUGAUACCUCCUAGUCUUGGACACUAUGAUAGGACCAGUAUCCACCAGGAUUCUACUCUUAAAUCCCCAAAAUGCAUUAAGAGGCCCAUUCAUGUGGAGUCAGAGCUCUUUAAACUUGGCAAAUAUACUGAGACCGGGUGAGUCACUAUAUCCUGCCUCACUGACCAGAUGAUUUUCCAUAUGGAGAUUAAAGGAGCCAAGCUAAAUAAUAUACUACCCCCUAUUGCAUACCGUUUCUAGGCUAUG